Molecule: long non-coding RNA, 857 nt
Filed under: Physcomitrium patens
Lineage: Eukaryota; Viridiplantae; Streptophyta; Bryopsida; Funariales; Funariaceae
Description: long non-coding RNA (PPAT_LNC000779)
Source: RNAcentral
UGCGACAAAACAAUAUUUCUUUGUUCAAGAUACAUCUUAUCCAUUGAUUUUAGGACAACCUUAUAUUACAGUGUCAUAAUACGUGAAGUUUUACUAGAGAAUGCUCCAAGCACCUAGCUGUGGAAGGAAGAAUGGAAAUUGCAAUAAAAACAACCUUAAUUCUAAUAGAAUAAUAAUAAUGCUCUAAUUAGACCAUAAUAAUGCUAAGCAAGCUUAAUAAAAUUCAAAAAAAACUUCAAAAAAAUUUCAAAUAAAUAAUAAAAAUUCUUAAAGAAAUACUAGAAGGAUCACAAAUAUCACUCAAAUACAUCUCAAUUCAAUCUUAAUUUAAUUCUAGUUUAAAUCCUAUUGAACUUCAUUCAAAAUUUAGGCCAAAACUAAUUGAAUCUUAAAUCCUAAUAAAAUCCUAAAUCCUAAAUCAGACCUUAAACAAACCUUAAACCAAACCACAACCAAAUCCUAAACCAAAUCCUAAUCAAAUCCUAAACCAAAUCCUCAAUCCUAAAUCAAACCCUAACCAAACCCUAAUCCAAAUCCUAAACCCUAAACCAAAUCCUAAUUCAAAUCUUAAAUCCUAAACAAAAUCCUAAUUAAAUCCUACAUCCUAAAUCAAAUCCUAACCAAACCCUAAAUCCUAAAUCAAACCCUAACCAAAUCCUAAACCAAACUCUAAAUCAAAUCCUAACCAAAUCCUAAAUCUUAAAUAAAAUCUUAAUCAAAUCUUAAAUCAAAUCCUAACCAAAUCCAAAAUCCAAAAUUAAAUCCUAAUCCAAAUCCUAAAUCCUAAACCAAAUCCUAAACCCUAAAUCCUAAAUCAAAUCCUAAUCCAAAUCCUAAACCCUAAACCAAAUCCUAAA